Molecule: ribosomal RNA, 460 nt
Filed under: uncultured bacterium
Lineage: Bacteria
Description: partial 16S ribosomal RNA
Rfam family: Bacterial small subunit ribosomal RNA
Source: RNAcentral
CCUACGGGAGGCAGCAGUGAGGAAUAUUGGUCAAUGGACGAGAGUCUGAACCAGCCAAGUCGCGUGAAGGAUGACUGCCCUAUGGGUUGUAAACUUCUUUUAUAUGGGAAUAAAAUGUUCCACGUGUGGGAUUUUGUAAGUACCCUAUGAAUAAGGAUCGGCUAACUCCGUGCCAGCAGCCGCGGUAAUACGGAGGAUCCGAGCGUUAUCCGGAUUUAUUGGGUUUAAAGGGAGCGUAGGUGGAAUGUUAAGUCAGGUGUGAAAUUUUGCGGCUCAACCGUAAAAUUGCCGUUGAAACUGGCAGUCUUGAGUAAAGUAGAGGUAGGCGGAAUGCGUGGUGUAGCGGUGAAAUGCUUAGAUAUCACGAAGAACUCCGAUUGCGAAGGCAGUUUACUGGAGUGCAACUGACACUGAUGCUCGAAAGUGUGGGUAUCAAACAGGAUUAGAUACCCUUGUAGUC